UUUAUGUUCAAUAUCUAAUAUCCAAUUUUAAUCCUCCAUCUUAUUUAAAAGAAUUUAUAAUUAAUAUUUUUUAUUGUUACGAGAUAAUAAAACAUAAAUAGUAUUUUAUACGUGAUUUAUGUUUUUAUCUUUUUUAAAAAUAAUUUUAAAUAAGACGGUCGAUUAAAGUUGAGUAUGAAAAAUCAUGGUUACACUUAAA
This 199-nucleotide microRNA precursor is filed under the name Oryza meridionalis. RNAcentral describes it as "MIR812 microRNA precursor family". The stretch from base 21 to 199 matches the Rfam family "MIR812 microRNA precursor family", at positions 27 to 205 of the family's 205-position model. Lineage: Eukaryota; Viridiplantae; Streptophyta; Magnoliopsida; Poales; Poaceae. The record is from Rfam by way of RNAcentral.